UGGGGAAUAUUGGGCAAUGGGCGCAAGCCUGACCCAGCAACGCCGCGUGAGGGAAGAAGGUCUUCGGAUUGUAAACCUCUGUCCUUGGGGACGAAAAAAAUGACGGUACCCAAGGAGGAAGCUCCGGCUAACUACGUGCCAGCAGCCGCGGUAAUACGUAGGGAGCAAGCGUUGUCCGGAAUUAUUGGGCGUAAAGGGUGCGUAGGCGGCAUGGCAAGUCAGAUGUGAAAUCCCCGGGCUUAACUCGGGGGGUGCAUUUGAAACUGCCAAGCUUGAGUACAGGGGAGGAAAGCGGAAUUCCUAGUGUAGCGGUGAAAUGCGUAGAUAUUAGGAGGAACACCAGUGGCGAAGGCGGCUUUCUGGACUGUAACUGACGCUGAGGCACGAAAGCGUGGGGAGCAAACA
RNAcentral lists this ribosomal RNA (405 nucleotides) under uncultured prokaryote. Its description in RNAcentral is "bacterial SSU rRNA". It matches the Rfam family "Bacterial small subunit ribosomal RNA", at positions 355 to 774 of the family's 1533-position model. The record is from RNAcentral.